GUUUGCCUACGGGGGGCAGCAGUAGGGAAUCUUCCACAAUGGACGAAAGUCUGAUGGAGCAACGCCGCGUGAGUGAAGAAGGGUUUCGGCUCGGAAAGCUCUGUUGGUAGGGAAGAAAGAUAGAGGUAGUAACUGGCCUUUAUUUGACGGUAAUUACUUAGAAAGUCACGGCUAACUACGUGCCAGCAGCCGCGGUAAUACGUAGGGUGCAAGCGUUGUCCGGAUUUAUUUGG
Molecule: ribosomal RNA, 233 nt
Filed under: uncultured bacterium
Lineage: Bacteria
Description: partial 16S ribosomal RNA
Rfam family: Bacterial small subunit ribosomal RNA
Source: RNAcentral